This 411-nucleotide ribosomal RNA is filed under the name Triticum aestivum (bread wheat). Its description in RNAcentral is "partial small subunit ribosomal RNA". Lineage: Eukaryota; Viridiplantae; Streptophyta; Magnoliopsida; Poales; Poaceae. The record is from RNAcentral.
AUGAAGGAGAGCGACGUCGCCGCCGGCGUGGUCGGCAUAGGUGACAUGGAGGCGUAGGUGUUCAAGGCCUUGCUCAGCUACAUGUACACCAACUCGUUGCCGGAGAUGGCAAAGAAGGAGGAGGACGCCAUGUACCGGCAUUUCCUUGUGGCGGCAGACAGGUAUAACAUGGAGAGGCUCAAGUUGAUGUGCAAAGACAAGUUGUGCAAGAGAAUCGAUGCAAGCACUGUGGCCAACGUGUUAGCAUUGGCUGAGCUACACCACUGCCGUGAUCUCAAGGGUGCGUGCUUCGAAUUUCUCAUCACUCCUCAAAAUCUAAGCGGGGCCAUGGCCACUGACGGCUUCGAGCAUCUGAGCAAAAGCUGCCCUUGUGUUGUCAAGGGGCUGAUUACCCUGUGCUCCGCAUCCUAG